UGUAAUUUAUGGAACACUGGUGUCACCUACAAUUUCAAUGAAUAGUUGAAGAAGUUAGGCAGUAGAUGGCCAAAAUCAUGCUCUGAAUUCUACAAACAACAUAAGUUAUUUAGAAUAAUAAAAUAUAAUUUCGCAAAAUUUACAUAUUCUUAAAUGAAAUUAUUGAUAACAAAUCGUUAUAUACUCCUAAAUAAUUAAUUAGGAUUUACAACUUUAUUUUAUUUUAUCUUCUCAGUAAUUAAGAGGUUAUACACAGUCAAAAGUCUUUUUAUUCAAAAACUGAACAUUAUUUAUUAAAAUAGUAAUAAUUGAAAUAAAAUAUUUUAUCUGAACAAAGUUCGGUUAUUGAAUUAAUUUGUAAAAAAUAUUUUAUUUAUAAAGAUGAAUCUCCAAAACUUUCAUAUCCCUAAAGAAAGAAGAGAAGUACCUAAAGUAAAACUUAUCGAUAAAUUACAUCGUGUAUUUGUUUAUACAUGCAUAGGAAUCGGAGGAAUAACUGGAAUACUUUGUGGAAUAAUAACAGCUAAUUAUUUUAUAAAUAUAAGACCAGAAGUAAAACGUCUAGCUCUUCAGAAAAAAAAAGACCUGCUUGAAGAAGGGUCUUCAUUUGAAAAUAAUGAAAUUGCUGAAGUUUCAUAAUUAACUAAGUUUGUUAGAAAUAUAAAUAAUUAUUAUAAACUUAAUAUUUUGUAAAAAUAGAUUUGAUUAUAGAAAUUUUAUUUCGUUUUUUAAUUGAUUAUUUUUAUAACUUUUUGUUUGAUCAAAUUGAUCAUUUGAUCAAAUUAGAUAAACAUUAAAGUUUAAAGAUGUACUUUCUGCUAAAACAUACAUCAUUAACCUGAAAAAAAGAUGUCGAAAAAUGUGAUUAAGAAUUAAGGAUAUUCAAUAAAUAAAAAUACCAAACGAGUAUAUUUCUAUAAAA
Chelonus insularis is the source of this 922-nucleotide long non-coding RNA. RefSeq lists it as uncharacterized. Lineage: Eukaryota; Metazoa; Arthropoda; Insecta; Hymenoptera; Braconidae. The record is from RefSeq and is a predicted model, not a curated record. The transcript has 2 exons.